AACGAACGCUGGCGGCAUGCCUAACACAUGCCAGUCGAACGAAGUCUUCGGACUUAGUGGCGCACGGGUGCGUAACGCGUGGGAAUCUGCCCUUGGGUACGGAAUAACUCAGAGAAAUUUGUGCUAAUACCGUAUAAUGUCUUCGGACCAAAGAUUUAUCGCCCAAGGAUGAGCCCGCGUAAGAUUAGCUAGUUGGUGGGGUAAAAGCCUACCAAGGCGACGAUCUUUAGCUGGUCUGAGAGGAUGAUCAGCCACACUGGGACUGAGACACGGCCCAGACUCCUACGGGAGGCAGCAGUGGGGAAUAUUGGACAAUGGGCGAAAGCCUGAUCCAGCAAUGCCGCGUGAGUGAUGAAGGCCCUAGGGUUGUAAAGCUCUUUUACCAGGGAUGAUAAUGACAGUACCUGGAGAAUAAGCUCCGGCUAACUCCGUG
RNAcentral lists this ribosomal RNA (433 nucleotides) under uncultured bacterium. RNAcentral's name for it is "partial 16S ribosomal RNA". It matches the Rfam family "Bacterial small subunit ribosomal RNA", at positions 29 to 507 of the family's 1533-position model. The record is from RNAcentral.